CAGCCCUAAACGAUGCGCGUUAGGUGUAUCGGUGACCACGAGUCACCGAGGUGCCGAAGGGAAACCGUGAAACGUGCCGCCUGGGAAGUACGGCCGCAAGGCUGAAACUUAAAGGAAUUGGCGGGGGAGCACAACAACGGGUGGAGCUUGCGGUUUAAUUGGACUCAGCGCCGGGAAGCUCACCGGAUAAGACAGCGGAAUGAUUGCCGGGCUGAAGACCCUGCAUGACCAGCUGAGAGGAGGUGCAUGGCGUAGUCGUGU
This 261-nucleotide ribosomal RNA is filed under the name uncultured archaeon. RNAcentral's name for it is "partial 16S ribosomal RNA". It matches the Rfam family "Archaeal small subunit ribosomal RNA", at positions 748 to 1009 of the family's 1478-position model. The record is from RNAcentral.